Molecule: long non-coding RNA, 928 nt
Organism: Neofelis nebulosa (Clouded leopard)
Lineage: Eukaryota; Metazoa; Chordata; Mammalia; Carnivora; Felidae
Exons: 4
Source: RefSeq, a predicted model, not a curated record
GCCCAGAAAUCCCGGGACUAAACCCGGCAGCAGAAGCUUCUGAGGAGCUAGAACCCUAGAGCCGUUCUCAACUCCGCCUGCCCGGGACUGCCACCCCGCUAGCCCUACCGCCCCCAAGCAGAGUCGCAGGGCUCGCGCUGAUGCAAUGAACAUCAAACGCUCCCUCCCGAGCGUGCACUCGUUCCGGUUAACCGGCAUUUCGCGCCAUCAACACGUAGCUACGAGAAGGGGCCUGGAAGACAACUCUGCCUCUCCAGCUUACAGUGCAUGGCCAGUCUUGCUUCAUCUAUACCCCCCCGCCCCGCCAACUUCCUCUCAACAACCAGAUUUUUUUGGAGCACAUGCCAGAUGCCGUAUCAUUUCAUCUAGGAUUCCUUUAGCGUCCAUGUGUUCUUCCAUCAGGAAGUGAAUAUGUCUGCUUCUGUAUCUUUCUCUGAUGUCACCAACCGUUGACGACCAGCGCUAAACUAUUUUGAGUUCCAGUAGCCAAAAGUGACUGUAUUUCUGUCCAGAUGGUUUGAUCUCUUUGGGAGAAAAAGAAGUCAGCUCUGUCCUAUUGGCUCUCCCCUCCAAGGGUGUGUUGUCUCUCCAAUUAGACUGGAAGCUCCCUGAGAGCCAGAGUGACUGCUGCUCCCUUUAACAGCCACCGCACCUGGUCACGCAAAAUGGCCGCGACCGUGAAAACGCACGGGGCAAAAGAGAAUCGGAAUAAAUGGCAACUGUUUUCUCCAGAGUGUAUUAACAUGCUUCCAGACAACAGCAUCUUUAUUCCUUCAAUAAAUGCUGAUCGAACAUUGAUCGAGGCCCUGCCCAGGCUCUAUCCAGGCCGAUUCUUGCACCCCCACGUCCUCCAAACUGGUCUCCACUGGAACCAGCCAGCUCACACACACCCCCACCCCAGAUUACCCACAGCUUCCCUGUUUUUCCA